ACGAACGCUGGCGGCGGGCUUAACACACUGCAAGUCGCAGGGCAAGCCGGAGCAAUCUGGCCCAGACUGGCGCACGGGUGAGUAACACGUAGGCAACCUGCCACCGGGAGGGGGACAACACGGCGAAAGCCGUGCUAAUACCGCAUAAUGCAGCGGGGCCGCAUGGCCACCGCUGCCAAAGGGGAAACCUGCCUGGUGAUGGGCCUGCGUCGCAUUAGCUAGUUGGUAGGGUAAUGGCCUACCAAGGCGAUGAUGCGUAGCUGUUCUGAGAGGAUGAUCAGCCACACGGGGACUGAGACACGGCCCCGACUCCUACGGGAGGCAGCAGUGAGGAAUCUUGCGCAAUGGACGAAAGUCUGACGCAGCCACGCCGCGUGCAGGACGAAGGCCCUACGGGUCGUAAACUGCUUUUGUCAGGGAAGAAACCGCGGGAUUUGUCCCGCGCUGACGGUACCUGUCGAAUAAGCACCGGCUAACUCCGUGCCAGCAGCCGCGGUAAUACGGAGGGUGCAAGCGUUGUCCGGAAUCAUUGGGUGUAAAGGGUGCGCAGGCGGACUGCUAAGUCUGGGGUGAAAGACCACGGCUCAACCGUGGAAGGUCCCUGGAUACUGGUGGUCUUGAAUAUGAGACAGGCCGGUGGAAUUCGAGGUGUAGCGGUGAAAUGCAUAGAUAUCUCGAAGAACACCAGUGGUGAAGACGGCCCGGCUGGAUCAUUAUUGACGCUCAGGCACGAGAGCGUGGGGGAGCAGACAGGAUUAGAUACCCUGGUAGUCCACGCCGUAAACGAUGGAUACUAGGUGUCGUGGCUUUCGGGCUGCGGUACCGCAGCUAACGCGUUAAGUAUCCCACCUGGGGAGUACGCCCGCAAGGGUGAAACUCAAAGGAAUUGACGGGGGCCCGCACAAGCGGUGGAGCAUGUGGCUUAAUUCGAUGCAACGCGAAGAACCUUACCCGGGCUAAAUCAUGCGUGACGUACUUGGAAACAGGUAGUCCCUUCGGGGCACGCAUGAAGGUGCUGCAUGGCUGUCGUCAGCUCGUGCCGUGAGGUGUUGGGUUAAGUCCCGCAACGAGCGCAACCCCUAUGGCCAGUUACCAGCGAGUAAUGUCGGGGACUCUGGUCAGACUGCCCACGCAAGUGGAGAGGAAGGUGGGGACGACGUCAAGUCAUCAUGGCCCUUACGUCCGGGGCUGCACACGUGCUACAAUGGGCGCCACAGAGGGAAGCCAUGCCGCAAGGCAGCGCGAAUCUCCAAAGGCGUUCUCAGUUCGGAUCGGGGUCUGCAACUCGACCCCGUGAAGUUGGAAUCGCUAGUAAUCGCGUAUCAGCUACGACGCGGUGAAUACGUUCCCGGGCCUUGUACACACCGCCCGUCAAGCGAUGGGAGUGCGUAGUGCCUGAUGUCGCCGUGCUAACCGAAAGGGGGCAGGCGCCUAGGGUAAGACGCAUGACUGGCGCUA
Molecule: ribosomal RNA, 1458 nt
Filed under: uncultured bacterium
Lineage: Bacteria
Description: bacterial SSU rRNA
Rfam family: Bacterial small subunit ribosomal RNA
Source: RNAcentral